UAUGGCCAUAUUACAUUGAAACACCAGUUUUCAUAUGAUCACCAAAGUUAAGCAACAUUGAAACUGGUCAGUACCUAGAUGGGUGACCACUUGGGAAUUCCAUGU
RNAcentral lists this ribosomal RNA (105 nucleotides) under Acanthosepion pharaonis. Lineage: Eukaryota; Metazoa; Mollusca; Cephalopoda; Sepiida; Sepiidae. The record is from RNAcentral.